CCCUUAGAUGUUCGGGGCCGCACGCGCGCUACACUGAAUGAAUCAGCGAGUGUAUGUCCUAGGCCGAAAGGUCCGGGUAACCCGUUGAACCUCAUUCGUGAUUGGGAUAGGGACUUGCAAUUGUUUCCCUUGAACGAGGAAUUCCCAGUAAGCGCAAGUCAUCAGCUUGCGUUGAUUACGUCCCUGCCCUUUGUACACACCGCCCGUCGCUACUACCGAUUGAAUGGUUCGGUGAAAUCUUCGGAUUGAGACUUUGAUUUGUUUACUCAAAACGCUGUUUCAAGAAGUUGAUUAAACCUUACCAUUUAGAGGAAGGUGAAGUCGUAACA
Molecule: ribosomal RNA, 329 nt
Filed under: uncultured eukaryote
Lineage: Eukaryota
Description: partial 18S ribosomal RNA
Rfam family: Eukaryotic small subunit ribosomal RNA
Source: RNAcentral